AUACGUAGGGUGCGAGCGUUAAUCGGAAUUACUGGGCGUAAAGCGUGCGCAGGCGGUUUUGUAAGACAGGCGUGAAAUCCCCGGGCUUAACCUGGGAACUGCGCUUGUGACUGCAAGGCUAGAGUACGGCAGAGGGGGGUGGAAUUCCCCGUGUAGCAGUGGAAUGCGUAGAGAUGUGGAGGAACACCAAUGGCGAAGGCAGCCCCCUGGGUCGAUACUGACGCUCAUGCACGAAAGCGUGGGUAGCAAACAGGAUUAGAUACCCUGGUAGUCCACGCCCUAAACUAUGUCAACUAGGUGUUGGGUGGGUAAAACCAUUUAGUACCGUAGCUAACGCGUGAAGUUGACCGCCUGGGGAGUACGGCCGCAAGGUUAAAACUUAAAGGAAUUGACGGGG
Molecule: ribosomal RNA, 397 nt
Filed under: uncultured bacterium
Lineage: Bacteria
Description: partial 16S ribosomal RNA
Rfam family: Bacterial small subunit ribosomal RNA
Source: RNAcentral